Molecule: long non-coding RNA, 390 nt
Organism: Herpailurus yagouaroundi (jaguarundi)
Lineage: Eukaryota; Metazoa; Chordata; Mammalia; Carnivora; Felidae
Exons: 3
Source: RefSeq, a predicted model, not a curated record
GUGCCAAGGGUUGAUGGGAAGAGAAAAGGAGGGGCAGGUAGAAGGCAGAGACACACAUGGCUAGAUAUCUCUUUUCCAGGCUGAAGUCCUAAUGGGGAAAGUGUGUGAAAUAAAACAAGAUGCCCCAAAGUCUCUCAUUAAUCCGGGCCAGAUGGAUCAGGUGAACUUGGUGUUGGAGAGACAACCUGAGUCUGGCUUCCUCUUUCACCUGCUUCUUCUGUGUCACAGAUAGGAUCUACAGUGCCUGUGUUCCCUGACGAGGACAUGCACAAUUCUUCCUACCUUGUAGGUGCAUAUGAUGAAAACAAUCCAGGUGUCACCAGGAAAUAAACAGGCCAUGGUUUCUUUUCAAAUCUGAGGAUAGAGAGAGCACAAGCAGGAGAGGGGCAG